GGGCUCGUGGUCUAGGGGUCAUGACGUCGCGCUUACAACGCGGAGGUCGCCGGUUCAAUUCCGGCCGAGCCCA
This 73-nucleotide transfer RNA is filed under the name Thermoplasmata archaeon. Its description in RNAcentral is "tRNA-Val". It matches the Rfam family "tRNA". Rfam says of the family: Transfer RNA (tRNA) molecules are approximately 80 nucleotides in length. Lineage: Archaea; Methanobacteriati; Thermoplasmatota; Thermoplasmata. RNAcentral also lists the same sequence under 1 other name. The record is from RNAcentral.